UAAGAUUAAAGAUAUCCCAGCUACUUUUAUGUACAAUACAAGUAUAUUUUAAUGUACAUUAACUUUUAUGCGCCGGUCGAUCUCUGCUAAAGUUAUCAUAUCCUUUACCGAGGAUUCACGUUUGUUUCAAAAAACCAUUUUACAAGAAAGUGUUAUAUUUUUUACUUUUGCUAAGAUACUACUUAUGUACUUCAAUAGCAACAGCGUUAAAGUAUUUGUAUGAAUUAUAACCGCAGUUAUUUUACUAGGAGACAUCUCCACCAAUUCGUUUUACCUCGAAAUUUGUAAACAAAACGUAGAUUAACGUUUUAAAUUUUAUAUAUUAAAAACAUUUAACAAUAAUAUAGCAUCCUAUGACGUCAUUACAAUGAAUUUUUCAACAAAUGUUUCUGAUUUAUUGUUUUCCAAUUGUUGCGAUUGUUGUUGGAAUGCUUAAGUGCGUUCGGAAAGUUUCUUUGCGAAAUUCGACUGAUAAGAUGGAAGAAAAAGUAGGAGAAGAGUGGCCAAACCGAAUGUUCGGCAAAACAAAGUUUACCCAAUUCAGGAUGACAAAGAUUUGCCUGCGACGAAAUGUGACUCCUGGAACAAAGAAGAAUCGCGGUUGCGAGCAAAUAACCCGAUAAGAGAAGGAAGGUCUAUCGGAUACAUAAGACACUUAUUCCAUAGAUUCUUGUUAUGCUGCUGCAUUUCGGGCGAGAUUUCUGAUUCGAAGACUUAAGAACCGGAAAGAAAACUCGCAGAUUUUAACAACGAAGACGACUGUAUUUAUAUUAUAAAUCCGAUUACUUUAUUGACAAGAUUAUGUCUUGUUUGUAAAAUCGUGGCUUGCAACCUUAGAGGUAUGAAGAGUACAUGUCAGAAGUUGCAAUUUAGCACAGAAUAUUAAAGUGACCAUAUUUUAAUACUGGUAAAGCGGAACAAAAUUCACGAAAAGAGGAGUGGUUGUCUUGUUGAAAAAAAAGCAACAAAAUUUUAUCAUCAAU
This is a long non-coding RNA of Centruroides sculpturatus (bark scorpion), 983 nucleotides long. RefSeq lists it as uncharacterized. The transcript is spliced from 4 exons. NCBI's taxonomy places the organism in Eukaryota, Metazoa, Arthropoda, Arachnida, Scorpiones, Buthidae. The record is from RefSeq and is a predicted model, not a curated record.